AUGUUUUUUGUAGCUCUGCUGCUGCUGUUGGCAGCUGGAUCACGUGUAAAGUGUGAGCAGUUGACACAGCCAGGGUCUGAAACUGUGCAGCCAGGCCAACGUCUGACCAUCACCUGUCAGGGAUCUUAUUCUCUUAGCAGCCACUGGACAGGCUGGAUCAGGCAACCUGCAGGGAAAGGACUGGAGUGGAUCGGUGCCAGAUAUACUGGAGAAGCAGCUUACAAAGAUUCACUAAAGAACAAGUUCAGUAUUGAUUUAGACACUUCAAGCAAAACAGUGACGCUAAUUGGACAGAAUAUGCAGCCUGACGACACUGCCAUGUAUUACUGUGCCAGAGAUGCACAAUAA
Molecule: non-coding RNA, 348 nt
Organism: Haplochromis burtoni (Burton's mouthbrooder)
Lineage: Eukaryota; Metazoa; Chordata; Actinopteri; Cichliformes; Cichlidae
Source: the annotation of a RefSeq genome assembly